This is a long non-coding RNA of Canis lupus familiaris (dog), 499 nucleotides long. RefSeq lists it as uncharacterized. The transcript has 4 exons. NCBI's taxonomy places the organism in Eukaryota, Metazoa, Chordata, Mammalia, Carnivora, Canidae. The record is from RefSeq and is a predicted model, not a curated record.
AUUUAAAGAGAGAACAGCUGUAAUGCUAAUGUGAGAAGAGUUCACGCUUCUAUCACGGAAGAGACACCAGAGACCUUGCUCUCUCUCUGCCAUAUGAGGACAAGUGAGAAGACAGCCAUCAGCAAGCCGGGAAGAGCACUCUCAUGCGAAACCCAUCCUGCUGGACCUUGAUCCUGGACUUCCAGCCUCCAGAACAGAGAAAAUAAGUUUCUGCUGCUCACAGUACCAGUCUGCAGCCUGAAGUUCUGCACCUGACAAAAGAAGUUGCUGAACAGAUGAGGGAAGGAGAGGAGAGAUUAAGCAAAUUCCACCUAAUUCUAGGCACGUGCUUGUGAUAUAAGGUAUCAUGCCUCUUGGUGUAUUAUUCUUCGAUCAAGAUUGCCUGACUUCAAAUGAAGAACUCCACUUCAGAGCUCUGCUUAAAUAUAAGACUAUUACCUGAGGAAUUAGUACUAGGCUGAUUUUCAGUUAUGUGUCCUGGUAUUAAUAAAUCCUUGUU